GGAACAUACAAAGGAUUUAACUUGUCAACAGCCUUUAGAGCUAGAAGGAUGUGAUUCAAGUUGCUUGAUUCAUCUACGUAAAUCAGUACUCUAGACUACAUACCAUCUCAGUGCAGCAUUGAUCGCUACUUGGUGCUUGAAUCACUCAAAUAAUUAUGGAUUUAAGGGGUUCAACUAGCUCCUUACGAUUUCUCUUCUUGUAUGAUGGGCCCUAUUCAAAUAGAUUAAAAACAAUAAAUAUAUAUAGGUGCAGGAAGCAAAUAAAUAGCAGCUCUAAAGUCAGACUCAAAUUAAUUCGAUUAGAUCUCACAAAUACAUUGUUGGAUUUUGCUAUAUCUAUCAACUAGGUAAAGAAAAAUAAAUCAG
This 366-nucleotide long non-coding RNA is filed under the name Carica papaya (papaya). RNAcentral's name for it is "long non-coding RNA (CPAP_LNC016197)". Lineage: Eukaryota; Viridiplantae; Streptophyta; Magnoliopsida; Brassicales; Caricaceae. The record is from RNAcentral.